CGGGAGCAAUCCUGGUGGCGAGUGGCGAACGGGUGAGUAAUAUAUCGGAACGUGCCCAGUAGUGGGGGAUAGCCCGGCGAAAGCCGGAUUAAUACCGCAUACGACCUACGGGUGAAAGCGGGGGAUCGCAAGACCUCGCGCUAUUGGAGCGGCCGAUAUCAGAUUAGCUAGUUGGUGGGGUAAAAGCCUACCAAGGCGACGAUCUGUAGCUGGUCUGAGAGGACGACCAGCCACACUGGGACUGAGACACGGCCCAGACUCCUACGGGAGGCAGCAGUGGGGAAUUUUGGACAAUGGGCGCAAGCCUGAUCCAGCCAUGCCGCGUGUGGGAAGAAGGCCUUCGGGUUGUAAACCACUUUUGUCAGGGAAGAAACGGCUCUUACUAAUAUUAGGAGCUAAUGACGGUACCUGAAGAAUAAGCACCGGCUAACUACGUGCC
RNAcentral lists this ribosomal RNA (439 nucleotides) under bacterium M2-100-16S. RNAcentral describes it as "bacterial SSU rRNA". It matches the Rfam family "Bacterial small subunit ribosomal RNA", at positions 74 to 509 of the family's 1533-position model. The record is from RNAcentral.